RNAcentral lists this microRNA precursor (75 nucleotides) under Anopheles sinensis. RNAcentral's name for it is "mir-965 microRNA precursor family". It matches the Rfam family "mir-965 microRNA precursor family". The record is from Rfam by way of RNAcentral. Lineage: Eukaryota; Metazoa; Arthropoda; Insecta; Diptera; Culicidae.
UUCCGAACGGGGGAUGCUGUGCGCUCUAUGUGGCCGAUUGCAAAUCCAUAAGCGUAUAGCUUUUCCCAUUUGGCG